UUAGGAUGAAGUAAAAAAAAAAAAAAUCAGACUAAUGGGAGUUUCUUACCCAUAGACUUUCUUGAAAGAACUACUAACAGAGGUACUUCAACAUAAAGAAAAGGCAAGAGUGUAAGAGUCUGGUGUGAGAAAAAAUAGCAUGAUAAAAAGGCAGAAUCAAACUACAGCCAACUUAUGGUGAGGAGCUCUUCAAACCAUUACUGAAAUUGACAUUAAAACACACCUGCUGCACAAGGAGUAACACCAGAGGAUCAAGAUUAUGGGGGUAAAAUUCUUCCUCCUACUGGCUCUUAACUGGAAAUGAUAGAACUAGAUUUGGUCAUCCUGAGUAUGGUGGUGAUAUCUUCCUCAGUGAGAAAGAAAUUACAAGAACAGAAGUCAGUUGGGUGCCUGUGAAGCACUGGUUCUGAAUAUGAAUUAACUCAUUUAAGGAUCUGAGGAUUUCUAAAGGUGAGAUUAGGCUAUGCAGAGAGGAAAACUCGGGAAGAUUCUGCGGCUAAACACAUUAAAAUUGCAUUAUGUGUCUUGCUCCAUGCUACUCCAUGUCCAAACAGCUUUCUCAAGUACUUCUUUCCACCGGAUUUCUGCCUUUUCUUCCCCCACCUUCACCUCAUGAAGUUCUGUGCAUCGUUCAAGGUCAAUUUCUAGCAUCAGGCCCUUCAAGAUCUUGCUCACAUGGGAUUGUAAUACCAUUGAAAUUAAAGCAGAGAGAUGCAUUUAGGAAAUCUCCUGACUUAAAAUGCUUCACAGAACUCCAAAAUUAAAUGACAUCAUACAUGUAAAAUGCUGAGCAGAACACAUGUGAUUUGGCAAGACGUCCUUGUGAAGAAAGAUAAAGAGGGGAUUUGAACAUCAUGCAGGAGAACAUUUCUGAAUUACAUCAAAUGUGGCAAUAUUACUGUAUUUUGAAACUGCUUAAAAGCAUAGAGUUGAACAAAAAUCAAAAUGACUCCAUAAAAUCUUCAAUGAGGUUGGAUUUUAAACUAAGUGAUCUUUUCCCUCUCUUCUGCAAACCUCCCUCACUCCUUUCUUGGCUUUUAGUUUCUGGAACCAGCACCACCCUGAAAACAACUAAGGAGGUUGGCAGCAUAAACAUAAUUCUGGUAGAACCCCACUUGAUCCUGGCUUUCCCUAUAAAACCCCCUAGCCCCUUCCUCUGGACAGACUUGCAGUUUUUGAAGGCCAUAGCCUGUGGCAGCCUCCUUUGUCUUGCAAAGCAAUAAAGCUAUUGUUUCUCUCUA
Molecule: long non-coding RNA, 1241 nt
Organism: Prionailurus viverrinus (fishing cat)
Lineage: Eukaryota; Metazoa; Chordata; Mammalia; Carnivora; Felidae
Exons: 9
Source: RefSeq, a predicted model, not a curated record